This is a small nucleolar RNA of Panicum virgatum (switchgrass), 107 nucleotides long. Lineage: Eukaryota; Viridiplantae; Streptophyta; Magnoliopsida; Poales; Poaceae. The record is from RefSeq and is a predicted model, not a curated record.
AUUCUAUGAUGGGGACAGGCCAGGAUGUACGCCUGCAGCCUUUUUCAUGCUUCCGGGAUGGAUUCCAUCCCCGUCUGUUAGAAACUUGAAAUUUUCCCGCGCAGGAC